GAGGUUCGAUUAUGGCUCAGAUUGAACGCUGGCGGGAUGCUUUACACAUGCAAGUCGAACGGCAGCACGGACUUCGGUCUGGUGGCGAGUGGCGAACGGGUGAGUAUCGGAACGUGCCGAGUAGCGGGGGAUAACUACGCGAAAGCGUAGCUAAUACCGCAUACGCCCUUCGGGGAAAGCGGGGGACCUUCGGGCUCGCACUAUUAAACGGCCGAUAUCGGAUUAGCUGGUUGGUGGAGUAACGGCUCGCAAGGCAGCGACGAUCCGUGGCUGGUUUGAAGAGAGGACGACCAACCACACUGGGACUGAGACACGGCCCAGACUCUACGGGAGGCAGCAGUGGGGAAUUUUGGACAGUAAACCUGAUCAACCAUCCCGUGUGCGAUGAAGGCCUUCCGGGUUGUAAAGCACUUUUGGCAGAAAGAAACGCGCGGGACAACUACCCGUGCAACUGACAGUACCUACCCAGAAUAAGCACCGGCUAACUACGAUGCCCGGCCGCGGUAAUACGUGGUGCAAGCGUUAAUCAGGUACUGGGCGUAAAGCGUGCGCAGGCAGUUCGGAAAGAAGAUGCUUGAAAUCCCAGAGCUAACUUUGGAACUGCAUUUUAACUACCGAGCUAGAAGUGUCAGAGGGAGGUGGAAUUCCCGCGUGUAGCAGUGAAAUGCGUAGAUAUGGAGGGAACACCGAUGGCGAAACGGCCUCUGGGAUAACGCUGACGUAUGCGAAAGCGUGGGAGCAAACAGGAUUAGAUACCCUGAUGAUCCCGCCUAAACUGAUGUCAACUAGCUGUUGGGGCCUUCGGGCCUUGGUGGCUGACUUCGCGUGAAGUUGACCGCCUGGGGAAGGUACGGUCGCAAGAUUAAAACUCAAAGGAAUUGACGGGGACCACACAAGCGGUGGAUGAUGUGGAUUAAUUCGAUUGCAACGCGAAAAACCUUACCUACCCUUGACAUGUCUGGAAUCCCGAAGAGAUUUGGGAGUGCUCGCAAGAGAACCGGAACACAGGUGCUGCAUGGCUGUCGUCAGCUCGUGUCGUGAGAUGUUGGGUUAAGUCCCGCAACGAGCGCAACCCUUGUCAUUGAAUUGCUGAAAGGGCACUCUAUUGGGAACUGCCGGUGACAAACCGGAGGAAGGUGGGGAUGACGUCAAGUCCUCAUGGCCCUUAUGGGUAGGGCUUCACGUCAUAUGGUCGGGACAGAGGGUCGCCAACCCACGCGAGGCCAAUCCCAGAAACCCGGUCGUGAUCCGGAUCGCAGUCUGCAACUCGACUGCGUGAAGUCGGAAUCGCUAGUAAUCACAGAUCAGCAUGUCAUGAUGAAUACGUUCCCGGGUCUUGUACACACUUGACACCCUGCAUGGGAGUGGGUUUUACCAGAAGUAGUUAGCCUAACCCAAUAAGAGGGCGAUUGCACCACGGUAGGAUUCAUGACUGGGGUGAAGUCGUAACAAAAUG
Molecule: ribosomal RNA, 1456 nt
Filed under: uncultured Bordetella sp.
Lineage: Bacteria; Pseudomonadati; Pseudomonadota; Betaproteobacteria; Burkholderiales; Alcaligenaceae
Description: partial 16S-23S ribosomal RNA intergenic spacer
Rfam family: Bacterial small subunit ribosomal RNA
Source: RNAcentral